This 236-nucleotide ribosomal RNA is filed under the name uncultured bacterium. RNAcentral describes it as "partial 16S ribosomal RNA". It matches the Rfam family "Bacterial small subunit ribosomal RNA", at positions 118 to 347 of the family's 1533-position model. The record is from RNAcentral.
UGAGCAAUCUGCCCUUCUCAUCGGAAUAAGCGUUGGAAACGACGUCUAAUGCCGAAUACGACCUCCUUUCGCAUGAUCGGAGGUGGAAAGCUCCGGCGGAGAAGGAUGAGCUCGCGGCCUAUCAGCUAGUUGGUGUGGGUAAUGGCCCACAAGGCGACGACGGGUAGCCGGCCUGAGAGGGUCGACCCGGCCACACGUGGGACUGAGACACGGCCCAGACCUCCGUACGGGAGCAG